AACCGCAUCCCCACAAGUGUUCUGGAAUCCUGUUCUAGCCCUUCUUGGCCAGGGCUGCAGACGGCACCAGGGAGAGACAGGGUGUGAAAGCAAGUGACUGCAGGCAGAGGGGUGUGCUCAGGAGGGGAGAGAUUGUCCAGGCUGGUCCGUGCACAGGUGUACCUUGUGUACCGAGCACCCUUCAGAGAGCUUUGCCAUUUUGCUGAUCAGGAAAGCCAGUGCUUUGUUUUCACUGAAGCUUAUUUUGUUUUGUUUUUAUCGAAGUUUAUUUUACAAUGUUGUGUUAGUUUCAGGUGUACAGCAAAGUGAUUCAGUUAUGUGUGUGUGUGUGUGUGUGUGUAUACAUAUAUUCUUUUUCAGAGUCUUUUACCUUACAAGUUAUUACAAAAUAUCAAAAUACGAAGUACAGUUCCCUGGUCUGUAACAGUAGGUCCUUGUCGGUUACCUGUUUUAGACACAGUCCUGCGUAUCUGUUAAUCCCAGCCUCCUAACUUGUCCCUCUCUGCACCCUUUCCCGUUUGGCAACUUUAAGUUUUUUUCCAAUGUCUGUGAGUCUAUUUCUGUUUUGGAAAUGGGUUCAUUUAUAUCACUGUCUUUUCAGAUGCCACGUAGAAGCGGUAUCAUAAGACAUCUGUCUUUUUCUGAUGUUUUAAGAAUCAUCAUAGUCUUGUGUUAAAUACGUUGUCAUCAUUGAAGCAGCAGCAUGAUCCUGUCUUGUCUCCCCAGUCUGCUUGGCAGGAACUUGGAUGGAUUCAAGGUCAGACUAUGACCUGUGUGUGUGCGCAUGCGUGUGUGCACACAUGCAGGCCAUGUAAUCUUCCAAGCACACUGGGACUCUCGACAACACAUGACAUGCAGUGUAGAGUCGGGGGUAUGUUAAAUCUGUGAUCUGUGCCAGGACCCUGUGCCAGGACGUGCCAAGCCAAGACACAGUCCUUUGACCCCCUUUCCACUCUUCUCUUGGGGCUGGGCAUCCGCACACAGACCCGUCUCCCAGUCUCUCAGUGCCAGUCGAGCUACUGUAACUUUAAAAAGAUGUAACAAAGACUACCUCCACCAGCUAAGCUGAAAUAAGAAUGUCUCCGGAGUUUAAUGGAUCAAGUAGCGGUGAUAGGUUUUAUGGCUCUUUUUCACUUUAGGGCAUAGGGAAGAGAGAGCCGGGCAGGUUGGUUUUAAAUUCAAGGAUUUAUGUUGUUAAUCCUCCGGGCUAAUUAUAAUUUAUGGGAUCUUGGCAAAUUAAUAUGCGGUUGCUAUUCAAAAGUGGAGGGCAAUGUGAGGCAGGCAUAAACAAGCCUUGUUCAUUUUUAAUUUAUUUCCACCAAUGGAGAAUAUUAAAUAAAAUGAACACUAGGGUAUUUCGCUCCAAGUUUGGUCUUCAUUAUUUAUCUCUAAAUUAUGAAAUUCAUAGAACAACUCCCUGUUUUUUCACCAAGAACCUGGGAACAGGGAGCGGGAACAUCCGGGUAAGUGGGAGGCAGUCAGAGUAGUUUUCUCUCCUCUGUGUCUCAGGCAGAUUCAACAGCACACGCACGGAGAUGGAGUGUUUCCAAGACAGGAUGUUGGUGGGGUCCAAGGUUUGGCCUUGUGCAUGUCGGGAAUGUUUAGAAACAGACCUUGUGCGUGGUCUGUGAGCUCAGAGUCUCAGGAAUACAGGUGUCCACCCUCCAAAACAAUGGCUCCAGCCCAUGAUGUCUCUAGGGAUCAGGGAAAAUCCAAUGGAUUGCUAGCCUCGUAGAUGCUGGGCAGGGGUGACCCCCCACUAGGACUUUGCGACUUGAUCCUAGCCAUCACAUUGCAGCCAGGAACCUCUGUUUCAUCAGCAUCCUCUGUGGCUCUUUUCCUAGUGCUCUUUCAAAGAAUUCAGCUUCUUACCCACAAACAGCUGGCAGCAAAUUCUCCCUGAACCAUGAGAUAGGCAGGUUCAGGCGAACUGGAUAAUCAUUUGUUCCCCAAGAUGCAAGAAUGGCCAUCGCUCGUGUCCCCUCCGCCGGCUUCCCUGCUCACCCUCUUCUCUGCCCCCCUCCCGCCUCCUCUUUCCAGCUGGGAGGCGCCAGCACGGGCUGCUUGGAGACCUCUUGAAACCUCGAGCUCUGAGCCCAGGAAGCGAGUUGGAGUUCUCCCCCCAGCUGUGCGGCUCAGAUAACAGCUGGAGCCCAGAACAGACCGUCCUCGCUGUUAGAAUAUCUGACCCAGUUCUGACUGGCAAAGAGACUGAAUCGUUGGUACCCCAAGCCAUGCCCGGCCCUGUGUGAGAGGAAAGAAGCAGUCGUCCCCUCCCCCAACAUGCUCCAUCUCAAAUCUGUCUCUCUCAAUGGGUCUCCUUUUCAUUGCUGUGAUUUUUUUUUUCUUUUUCUUUUACUUUUUUGUCUUUUCUAGGGCCACACCUGCCACAUAUGGAGGUUCCUAGGCCAGGGGUUGAAUCGCUGCUGUAGCUGCCGGCCUACCCCAGAGCCACAGCCAUGCCAGAUCCGAGCCACGUCUUCGACCUACUCCACAGCUCAUGGCAAUGCCAGAUCUUUGACCCACUGACCGAGGCCAGGGAUCGAACCUGCACCCUUAUGGUUCCUAGUCGGAUUCGUUAAUCAGUGCGCCACGACGGGAACUCUGAUUUUUUUUUUUCUUGUACUUCAUUUUCUCAUUGACCGGAAAAUGAAGGACCACUUUCAACAAUUCUGAAGACACAAUGGGAUAUUCGGCUUUGGGAGGGAAGCUAGACUAGAAAGGCAAGAGUUCCUGGAGCGUGACAGUCCCCAAAUCCAAUCCCAGCUCUGCCUUUUGUCAGCUGGGUGUUGUUGGGCGAGUGACCUCACUUUUCUGACUUCUCAUCAGUGACAUGAGCACAUUGGGGGACUGUUAUGACAAAGCAACUCUUGAGAAGUGCCCGGCCUGUUAUCUGACUUCUUCCCACGGCCCCUGAGUAAAUGUGAUGAAUCGUGUAAAUAUCCCCCAGCGCUCAAGGGCACAGGUACCUGUUGGAUCCUGCGCCUUUGCAGGAGGAGCAAGGGUUCAUGAUAUAUAAGCAGCCCAGCCUCGAGACAUCAUGACUCUGUACCUGCGGUUUUUUCCCCUUGAUCAUUCUCUCUCUGUUAGAUUUUCAAGAAAGGCAGUAGGUAAUUUUGGGAACAAAUCAGCUUGAGUGAUGCCCAGACCAGGAAGAUAGAAAAAGAUCAAGGUGACCCAGUGGCGCAAGGAUUUAGGGUCAUCAUAUUACAGAGUUUUGUCCAAAGAACAGCUGGUUUUGAUCUACUGAUCACACCAUCCCUUGAAUCCUGAUGUGUGUCUACUGGGUCUGGUAGGAAACAGAUUUGUGUAACAGUCUCCAUCCUGAAUUCAAAUCCUUAUCCCACCCAUCUGCUCAAGCUUUGUAACUGGGUCAAGCUAAGCAGGCAUGUCUCCUUCUUGAGGAUGAGUUGUGUCCUAGUACCCUGCUUGGCACCUCCCACAAAUGCACUUCUUUCUGGUGGGGGGGGCUUCAGUGAACAAAAUCUGAUGCCCAGACUUGCAUGAACCCCAGGACUAGACAUGGCACAGGCUCAGCUGAAGAAUCUUACCUCUGCCUCUCCUUCCCAGCUUCCUGCCAACAGGAGAAUUUAGCUGGUUUCACCUUUAAGUAUCUAGUCCUCCUUUCCUCUUGAGCAUUUUUAUCUUGAAAGUCAAGAUUUUUGGUUCAAGUCUACUGGCCCAAGAGAAGGGUUCUCUGCUUGAUUUACAGUAGGUGAUAAUGAGUAGUAAACAAAGCACUCAGCUGUGAAGUCACCAUUCGCUUAUGCCAGGUAGAGCUGAGCAUCAUGACAGCGCCAGGGAGUUAUCGAUAUGGUGCUAUGGUUGACUGUUGAAAUCCUACCCUUUAAUGGGAUAGAAUUAGAAGGUGGGGCCUUUGGCACAUAAUUAGGUCAUGAGGGUGGAGCCCUCACACAUGAGAUUAGUGCCCUUAUAAAAAGAUCCAAGAGAGCUCCUUGUCCCUUCCAUCAUCUUUGGACACAAGGUGAGGUCUGCCACCCAGAAAGCCCUCACCUGACCAGGCUGGCAGCCCCAUCUCCACAACUGUGAGAAAUAAAGUUCUGUGUUGAUAAGCCACCCAAUCUCUGGCAUUUGGCUCUAAAGAACCAAGAGAGCUGGAGAGCAUAUUUGGUCCAGUUUCCUUUCCUGCUUCUCUGGAUCUGAGGAUCAUUUCCAAGAAUAUCCAAAUGUGGAACAUCUCUCCCUUUGGGGGCUUCCAACUUCCCAGAUGCCCGGUUUUCUUUUGACCCCUUUCUCACUGAGCUUUUGUUUGUUUGGCUGUACUUGUGGUAUAUGGAAAUUCAUCUUCCAGUCACUGAAUCCAAGCUGCAGCUGCAACCUACUGUGCAGCUGCAGCAGCGCCAGAUCCUUUAACCCACUGCUUCAGGCCAGGGAUCAAACCUGUGCCUCUGCAGUGGCCCAAGCCACUCCAGUCAGGUUCCCACCCCACGGCACCACAGUGGGAACUCCCCACUGUGGGUUUUUUAUUGAAUGCAUUUACCUCGCCUUCCCAGAACACAGGGGGAAGGCCCUGCAUUUCCACCAACACAAAUGUUGCUGAUGGCUUGUAUCUCGGUUUUAUUUCUUACUCUCCCACUUCAUAAAAGACUAGGAAAGCACUCGCCCAAAUGUUUGCACAUCAUUUCAAUAUUCAUUUCCAUUAAUUUAUUCAUAGCUGUAAAGUUUACUACCUAGAAUAUUGAGUCAUAAGAUUUGAGAGACGGAAGACACAGGAGAGGAGAGGUUAUCUCGUCCCAACUCCUCGUUUUACAGAUGAGGAGACUGAGGUGAGAGGGCUCGGGCAGCUCUCCAAGGUCAAAUUGGAAUGGUGACAAAGGGGAGGUCCCAGGGCAGGUCUCUGCUGUCUGGCCUCUGUUCAUUGCAGCUCUGCAGAGCUGAAAACCAUCUUGCUCUCUGCUGGCACAGAAAGCCUCUUUCUUGUUCAUUUCUUGUGCCUUCAUUAUCUAGAAAGUUUGUGUUAAGGGCCAGCCCAGAGCUCAGUGCUGGAGUGCCGCAGUAAAUGACCCCGUCAGGGUAGCAGCACUCACAUCAUAGUGGGGCAGAGACUGAGCAAAGAGACGAACAGGGGUGUGUGUAGGUGUGUGUGUGUGUGUGUGUGUGUGUGUAGGUGUGUGUGUGUGCACGAGAACAAGUUGUGAUGAUAGCUCUUGAAUAAACAAGGGCUGCGUGGAGGACAGUGGUGGGAGGUGUCUUAAUUGGGUUGCUCUAAAAAGUACCACAGACCAGGAAGCUUAUAGGCAACAUAUUCUUACUUCUCAUAGUUCAGGAGCCUGAAGUCUGAGAUCCGGCUGCCAGUGUGGUCAGGUUCUGGUGGGAGCCCUCUUCCAGGUUGCAGACAGCCUACUUCUUAUGUCAUCACAUGUAGAAAGAGGCCAGGAGAGCUCUCUGCAGUCCUUAUUUAAGCACACCAAUUCCAUUCACGAGGCCUCUGCCCUUAUGAUCUCAUCACCUCCCAAAGGCCCCACUUCCUAAUAGCAUCCCAUGGAGGGGAGGGUGAGGAUUUCAAGGUAUGAAUUUGGGAGGGAUGAAGACAUUCGGUUCAUAAUAGAAGGCUGGGGCGGGAGUCUUGGGUUGUGUUUUCCCAAGGAGGUGAGAAGAGGAGACUGGAAAGGGGAGUGAGCCAACACUGGGUGCCUUAAUUAAAGGAUGCUGCAGCAGAGAAGUGGUCCAGGAUCCACCCAGGGAAUUCUGGGAAUCGGUGCAGAAGACGUUGCCUCUGAGUCAUCCCCUAGGCAGGGCCAGGAAACUGGGGUCCUUCCCUACCAGUUCCCCAUCUGUCAGUGGUUGAGAACUGCUCUCACGGCGUUUACCUCUGAGCUGUGCUGGCCAGCAUCCCAGCACAAUAUUUGCAGUAUUUGUGGCAUGCUUAUACUAAAAUUCAAAAGUAGCUGACAUUCCAAAUUGAACUGCCCUCCUGCAUUGUAUUAGGCGACCCAGCUGCCCCUUUGAUGGGUCCAGCGGCACCUGUAGCCAGAGUCGGGUACCAGCAUCACAGAUAGUUGUGGAAGGGAGGGCGGAGCAGCAGCUGGACAAGUGACUUGGAAAGUCCCUGAGGGGCCAAAAAGGUCUUAGGGAGUAGAUGUCAGUGAAGACAAGGUCCCAAGGCUGGGAAGGAGCCAGCCUUUCACACAAGGAGGGGGAAUGAAGGUGGGGGCAGAGCCCUGAUUUCCAGGCAGCGCGAACAUCACAUGAAACAGGGAGUACGUGCUCUCUGUUGCCCUAGAUGAGGGUCCUGGUGUUUGGAAGCGGCCUUCGAGGUGGGGUCGCAGGGCUGGUGAUGAUCCUAAGGCUGUGUCGCACCUCAUGCUCGCCAGGCACUGUCUGUGUGUGGGGCAGGAUGCUUGCGUCUUGCAUGAUGCCACGUAACCUUCCUGACGGCCCUAGGAGGGAGGUGCUAGCAUCAGGCCCUUUUCCAAAACUGAGGAAACGAAGGCUUUGAGAGCAUAGGUGACCUGCUAGUGAGGGGUCCAGCCAAGAUUUGAACCCAAACAGCUCGAGAGUCCACUUAAUCCUCAAACCCAUCUAUCGCAGGUUGAAUUGUGUGCCCUGUGUCCAGAGCUAGAUUGACUCUAGACCCCCAGCACCUGUGAAUAGGAAACUGGAAAUAAGGCUUUUGCAGUUGUAAUCAAAUUAUAGUGAGGCAGGGAGUUCCCACUGUGGCUCAGCAGUAACGAACCGGACUCGCAUCCACGAAGAUGCGGGUUUGAUCCCUGGCCUUGCUCAGUGGAGUAAGGCUCCAGCAUUCCAUGAGCUAUGGUGUAGGUUGCAGACGUAGCUCGGACCCACGUUGCCAUGGCUGUGGUGUAGCCCAGCAGCUGCAGCUCCAGUGUGACCCCUAGCCUGGAAACUUCCAUAUGCUGCAGGAGCGGCUAUAAAAAGCCAAAAAGAAAAAAACAUUAAAGUAAGGUAGUUUAGCAAGAUGAAUAAACCGUAGAGAUCUGUAGCACCCUAUACCUGUGGUUCCCAAUGAUGUAGUUUAUGUAUAAAAAUGUGUUAAGAGAGUAGAUCUUAUGUGACAUGUCUUACUGCAAAAAAAAUUUAAAAAAAAUUUAAAUGACAUUAUCCUGGAUUAGAAUGGGACCGAUAUCCAUGGAUUGAUGUCUUUAUAAGAGAAGAGAGGAAAGUUUGAAGAUACACACACACACACACACACACACACGCACGCACGCAACGCACAUACGCGCGCACCUGCACAUGCACACACCGAAGAAAGAAAUAAUACUGUGUAAAGAAUACCAGGCAAAUAUUGUAUUUUAUGUUGCUACUGAUGCAAACAGCCCCAGACAUUGUUGGUGACCCUCAGAGGCUGGACGCAGCAAAGGACUCCCCCUGACAGCCUUUGGAAGGAUCACAGCCCUGUGGACACCUUGCUUUUGAACUUCUGGCCUCCGGGACAGUGAGAGAAUACCUUUCUGAUGUGCCACCCAGUUUGUGACACUUUGUGACAGCAGAACUGGAAAACUGAUACUGCAUCCCUUCUCAGCUUACCAAAGGGCAUCUGAAGGGGAGCCUUUAAGCAAAUUAAACAACUGCCCCAGGCAGGAGCCAGGCAGCCAAAUGGCUCACCUGGGGGCCUCAGGUGACAGAGGCACCCACUGCCCCCCUUUAAUGGGCCAGAAUGGUGUUCACAUUUCCCAGCCCAUUGGCAGUGACAUAGAGGGAGGAGCCAAGGCUGCAAUCACAACGAUAUACAGCUCAAGGCCAGUGCAAUGAUUAGCUGCCCACAGGAACAGUGCAACGUGCAUGAUAUUUGCCUGCCCAGGAAAGCCAAGUGCAAGUUCCUGCCCGCUCUCAUGACCCGGUUCCGCCAGCGCGGGAAGGGACAGGCCCCUCCAGCUCCUGCCCUCUGCUGCCACCAGGAUUUAACUCCUUCCUGUCCCCCAGGCUGUUGGACAUCGCACACAACUGUUCCAACGUGCAUUCAAGGGGGGUCAGUCUCUUUGAUGGGGCCCUGCCUUUUCUGGAGCUUUCCAACAAUCAAUGGAAGCAUGAUUCAUAGAAGUGCACAUGGCCCAUUUUU
This 8041-nucleotide long non-coding RNA is filed under the name Sus scrofa (pig). Its description in RNAcentral is "lncRNA (ENSSSCG00050000529.1)". The record is from RNAcentral. Lineage: Eukaryota; Metazoa; Chordata; Mammalia; Artiodactyla; Suidae.